CCUACGGGAGGCAGCAGUAGGGAAUCUUCCGCAAUGGACGAAAGUCUGACGGAGCAACGCCGCGUGAGUGAUGAAGGCUUUUGGGUCGUAAAACUCUGUUGUUAGGGAAGAACAAGUGCUAGUUGAAUAAGCUGGCACCUUGACGGUACCUAACCAGAAAGCCACGGCUAACUACGUGCCAGCAGCCGCGGUAAUACGUAGGUGGCAAGCGUUAUCCGGAAUUAUUGGGCGUAAAGCGCGCGCAGGUGGUUUCUUAAGUCUGAUGUGAAAGCCCACGGCUCAACCGUGGAGGGUCAUUGGAAACUGGGAGACUUGAGUGCAGAAGAGGAAAGUGGAAUUCCAUGUGUAGCGGUGAAAUGCGUAGAGAUAUGGAGGAACACCAGUGGCGAAGGCGACUUUCUGGUCUGUAACUGACACUGAGGCGCGAAAGCGUGGGGAGCAAACAGGAUUAGAUACCCUGGUAGUCCACGCCGUAAACGAUGAGUGCUAAGUGUUAGAGGGUUUCCGCCCUUUAGUGCUGAAGUUAACGCAUUAAGCACUCCGCCUGGGGAGUACGGCCGCAAGGCUGAAACUCAAAGGAAUUGACGGA
This 589-nucleotide ribosomal RNA is filed under the name uncultured bacterium. Its description in RNAcentral is "bacterial SSU rRNA". It matches the Rfam family "Bacterial small subunit ribosomal RNA", at positions 338 to 917 of the family's 1533-position model. The record is from RNAcentral.